UUCUGAUGACCUAACAUUGUUAGGUAAAGGCACAUGUGUUGUCAGGAAUUAUCUCACUAAGAAUUACUUUAGCUCAUGUAGUUAGAAGAGUCAAUACCUUCCCAGGAAAAGCACUGAGUGGGUUAGUGGAAGGCACGCACUUAUCAAGCAGCAGUUCUUGCGCAGCAAUGCUUGUUGUAAAAGUGCUAAUAUUUAUUUUCCACACUAGAGGACAGUGCUUGAAAGAGUAACAGACCUUACCUCCAAGAUUAGGCACCACCAAGAGUGGAACAAUCACCCCAUUGUUAGCUCUGCUAACCCAUGUGCAAAGCACAUAAAGAUUUUAUUUCUUUGGCAGAAAAAAAUAGAGAAAUAAAUAUGUCUGUUCUAACAUGAAGCAGAAAUCAAUGAUGAUGCUGUCUUAACUUGCUGAGCACAGAGAAAGAGAAAUGCCAGUACAAUUUACUAAUCAGAAUUGCCAAAGAAUGAAUGGAAGAAGACAUCCCUAUAAAUGCAGACUUGAUAUCUUGGUGGCCAUAUUCCAAAACCACAGGAUAAACAAGAAAUAUCUUCCUGUAGCAUUGUUUUUGCUAAAUGACAAUGUGAGACAAUAAAACCCUGGUAUGAAAAAGGAG
This 614-nucleotide long non-coding RNA is filed under the name Cebus imitator (Panamanian white-faced capuchin). Its description in RNAcentral is "lncRNA (ENSCCAG00000038238.1)". The record is from RNAcentral. Lineage: Eukaryota; Metazoa; Chordata; Mammalia; Primates; Cebidae.